UCCUCUCCUCCUCCACCACCUGUGUCCUCUCCUCCUCCACCACCUGGGUCCUCUCCUCCUCCACCACCUGGGUCCUCUCUUCCUCCACCACCUGCAAAACGCAAUUCAAAACGUAAAAUUAAAGAAUGCAGAAAACAUGCCAAACAGACCAUAUACAAUUAUUCCCACAUUGUGGAUAAGCGUGUUGUUGGUGGAAAAGAAGAAGUCAGGGUGAAAUGGACAUCUUGCACAAAAUGUGGGAAAGAAUGGCCUGACUCGUGGGAGCCAGCAGAACAAUACAAAUGAUCUAUUAAUUAAAUAUUUUAUUUUUUGUGUUUCAUCUUCUCAAAAAUUAAUAAAAAAGUUUUUUGGUAUUUUUAUAUUGCAAUUGUUGGUCAGAUCCGAAAUAAAAAUGUAUUCAUGUCAAUUUUGUUCAUUGAUUUGGAUAUUUUCUUUUAUACUUUGAAUGUUUCAAUACAUUAAAAUCAUUACAUCUACAUGUUUUUUUUAUGUUAUUGUUGAAAGAAAGCAAUAGGCUUUUAGAAAAUAGACCUGUAAAAAUAAACGGUUCCUGGAGGAGCCUUUUGCGGUUCUUCACUUUGCCACAUUGGAUGCAGCAGCUUCAUUUUCCGUUUGUUUUUCCUCUUUUCUGGUGGAUGGUCCAGGCAUUCAGGUCUACAGGAGGGUUUUUACUCUUGUUGAAACUUGUAUUUCAGCUUACCGAGGUCCCUGCAAAGGACAAAAAAUACGGUUAGUAAUGUUAUUAAAGUGAUAGUUGUGAACUUAAAAUUCUUUCCUCAGCCUUGUGACAUUCCAAACCUGUUUGACUUUCUGUCUGUGGAACCCAAAAGUAGAUCUCGGAGUCGGGCAUAAUACAACCCAAGUCACCGUUCACUUUCACUGCAUGUGUUCAUAAGCAGUUUUUUAUUUUUUAUAAUUCAUGACACAUGAAAAUAAAUAAUUUAUGUACAAUUAUCUAGUUCAGUUAAAUUCAAUGCAACACUUUAAGUAAAGAUGGAUAUUCUGUUAAGCUCCAAAUAUGUCACAGAAAAGAUCCUAAAAAAAUAUGGAGGAAAAAAGAGAGGCCACAUCUCCUGUGUUAUGAGUUGUGUUGUAAUUCUUCUGAAACCAUAUUAAUAGCUUUUUUGUCAAAUGUCAUAGAUUCAAAUGCAAAUGAUUAAGGUAUAAGAAAAAAUUCAUAGCAUUAUUGGCACCAAACCUGUGAUAUUAUUUUUCUGAGUAACAUGAAUGAGAUUUGACAGCAUAUUUUAAGAGAAUAACUGAUUAAAUAACACAAGUACACACUCAUACAAAUACAGUUUCACACAGAAAAGUUCAUAGUAAUAAAGUUUGCUACUUGCAUGAAGGUAAAUUAACAUACUAUAAUUCAAUGUUGCCUCUGAAAUUUUCAGAUUAUUUUAGAAAUGUGCUGGUUGUUCUAGGGAAAGAAAAGAACAAAGCUGAUUAUAUCCAUUCACAACAUAAUAUUUAUUGGCCCGUAAAGGGCUUUAAAAUAGUAUUUGAGAAAAUGAGGAGGGCAUCUGUAGUAAAAGUUAACGUUAAACAAAAACAGACCAAACUAACGUUUUGCUACCACUUGUGUUAUUCAUAAUAAACCCCAAUGACGACAGCAGGAAUCAGCUAUUAAUUAGUUAUAUCAGCAAUAUGAAGACAGUUGUACAGAAUACGUUGAAUUAAAUGACUUAAACAAUCUAAAACAAUAAGUCAAUGUUUUCAUGUGUUAAAUAGAUUAGUUAGCAUCGCGGCUAAAACAUUCAUACCACAUAACGUUAACUGUGCAAUAAACGAGUGGUAAACACUGUCAAAACGUAGAAAUAUAUAUAUAUAAUACAUUUAGUAUAUGUGUUUGAAUAUAUAGUGAGUAACGUUAGAUGGUAUUUAUCAUAGCUCUCAACUCUCACGCAUUGACCGUGUGACACACGCAUUUCA
Fundulus heteroclitus (mummichog) is the source of this 1929-nucleotide long non-coding RNA. RefSeq lists it as uncharacterized. The transcript is spliced from 4 exons. The record is from RefSeq and is a predicted model, not a curated record. Lineage: Eukaryota; Metazoa; Chordata; Actinopteri; Cyprinodontiformes; Fundulidae.